CAGGGCGAGGUGUAGGCAAAUCCGCACCUCAUGCGCCUGAGAUCUGACACGGACCCGUACAGGGGAAGUCGGUGAUCCUAUGCUGCCAAGAAAAUCUUCUAGCGAGGUUCGAGCCGCCCGUACCCCAAACCGACUCAGGUGGUUAGGUAGAGAAUACCAAGGCGAUCGAGUGAAUCGUGGUUAAGGAAUUCGGCAAAAUACCCCCGUAACUUCGGGAGAAGGGGGGCCCAGAGGGUGACGGGACUUGCUCCCCGAGCCUGAACGGCCGCAGAGACCAGGGAGAAGCGACUGUUUACUAAAAACACAGGUCCGUGCCAAGUCGCAGGACGAUGUAUACGGACUGACGCCUGCCCGGUGCUGGAACGUUAAGGGGACCGGUUAGCCUCACGGCGAAGCUGAGAACUUAAGCGCCAGUAAACGGCGGUGGUAACUAUAACCAUCCUAAGGUAGCGUAAUUCCUUGUCGGGUAAGUUCCGACCUGCACGAAUGGCGUAACGAUUUCUCCACUGUCUCAACCACGAACUCGGCGAAAUUGCACUACGAGUAAAGAUGCUCGUUACGCGCAGAAGGACGGAAAGACCCCGGGACCUUUACUACAGCUUGGUAUUGGUGUUCGGUACGGCUUGUGUAGGAUAGGUGGGAGACUGUGAAGCUGACACGCCAGUGUCGGUGGAGUCAACGUUGAAAUACCACUCUGGUCGUUCUGGAUAUCUAACCUAGGUCCGUGAUCCGGAUCAGGGACAGUGCCUGGUGGGUAGUUUAACUGGGGCGGUUGCCUCCUAAAGGUAACGGAGGCGCCCAAAGGUUCCCUCAGCCUGGUUGGCAAUCAGGUUUUGAGUGUAAGUGCACAAGGGAGCUUGACUGUGAGACUGACAAGUCGAACAGGGACGAAAGUCGGGACUAGUGAUCCGGCGGUGGCUUGUGGAAGCGCCAUCGCUCAACGGAUAAAAGGUACCCCGGGGAUAACAGGCUGAUCUUGCCCAAGAGUCCAUAUCGACGGCAUGGUUUGGCACCUCGAUGUCGGCUCGUCGCAUCCUGGGGCUGGAGUAGGUCCCAAGGGUUGGGCUGUUCGCCCAUUAAAGCGGUACGCGGGCUGGGUUUAGAACGUCGUGAGACAGUUCGGUCCCUAUCCUCUGCGCGCGCAGGAAACUUGAGAAGGGCUGUCCCUAGUACGAGAGGACCGGGAUGGACGAACCUCUGGUGUGUCAGUUGUUCUGCCAAGAGCACCGCUGAUUAGCUACGUUCGGGAGUGAUAACCGCUGAAAGCAUCUAAGCGGGAAGCAUGCUUCAAGAUGAGGUUUCCAUGGGGUUUACCCCGAGAGGCUCCCAGCUAGACUACUGGGUUGAUAGGCCGGAUGUGGAAGUGCGGUAACGCAUGGAGCUGACCGGUACUAAUAAGCUGAAAAG
Molecule: ribosomal RNA, 1407 nt
Filed under: metagenome
Description: bacterial LSU rRNA
Rfam family: Bacterial large subunit ribosomal RNA
Source: RNAcentral